Molecule: ribosomal RNA, 465 nt
Filed under: uncultured bacterium
Lineage: Bacteria
Description: partial 16S ribosomal RNA
Rfam family: Bacterial small subunit ribosomal RNA
Source: RNAcentral
GACGAACGCUGGCGGCGUGCUUAACACAUGCAAGUCGUACGGUAAGGCCCUUUCGGGGGUACACGAGUGGCGAACGGGUGCGUAACACGUGAGUAACCUGCCCACAACUUUGGGAUAACGCUAGGAAACUGGUGCUAAUACUGGAUAUGUGCUCCUGCUGCAUGGUGGGGGUUGGAAAGCUCCGGCGGUUGUGGAUGGACUCGCGGCCUAUCAGCUUGUUGGUGGGGUAGUGGCCUACCAAGGCGGCGACGGGUAGCCGGCCUGAGAGGGUGACCGGCCACAUUGGGACUGAGAUACGGCCCAGACUCCUACGGGAGGCAGCAGUGGGGAAUAUUGCACAAUGGGCGCAAGCCUGAUGCAGCAACGCCGCGUGCGGGAUGACGGCCUUCGGGUUGUAAAACGCUUUCAGCAGGGACGAAGCUUUUUGUGACGGUACCUGCAGAAGAAGCACCGGCUAACUACGUG